RNAcentral lists this ribosomal RNA (305 nucleotides) under uncultured bacterium. RNAcentral's name for it is "bacterial SSU rRNA". It matches the Rfam family "Bacterial small subunit ribosomal RNA", at positions 337 to 639 of the family's 1533-position model. The record is from RNAcentral.
ACCUACGGGGGGCAGCAGUGAGGAAUAUUGGUCAAUGGGCGCGAGCCUGAACCAGCCAAGUCGCGUGAGGGAGGACGGCCCUACGGGUUGUAAACCUCUUUUGCCGGGGAGCAACGGGCGUCACGUGUGGCGCCACUGAGAGUACCCGGAGAAAAAGCAUCGGCUAACUCCGUGCCAGCAGCCGCGGUAAUACGGAGGAUGCGAGCGUUAUCCGGAUUUAUUGGGUUUAAAGGGUGCGCAGGCGGAGGUGCAAGUCAGCGGUCAAAUUGCGGGGCUCAACCCCGUACUGCCGUUGAAACUGCAUC